Molecule: non-coding RNA, 23 nt
Filed under: Cricetulus griseus (Chinese hamster)
Lineage: Eukaryota; Metazoa; Chordata; Mammalia; Rodentia; Cricetidae
Source: RNAcentral
AAAGUAGAGGUAGGACAUCACAU